This is a long non-coding RNA of Daphnia magna, 559 nucleotides long. RefSeq lists it as uncharacterized. The record is from RefSeq and is a predicted model, not a curated record. The transcript is spliced from 2 exons. NCBI's taxonomy places the organism in Eukaryota, Metazoa, Arthropoda, Branchiopoda, Diplostraca, Daphniidae.
CGUCAUUGGGAUUUGUCGUGUAACCUGACAUUCUUGUACGGAAGACAGUGGUGCAUGUUUGGUGGUAUCUGUGGUGCUGUUUGCUGAUCGUGAUUUAAUAAACGAAAUGUAAUUUGGCUUCUACUUUCAGCCUUCAGUGAGGAUGUCCGUAACUUCUAUUCAUAUUUUAAAAAGACUUUGCCUUAUUUCUAACCUAUAGCAGGAUUGCUUUAUUUCAAGCAUGUUCCCACCAAAUGCCCACCGUAUGGCAGAUUGUCCACAUAUCACGUGUGAUGAUGGGCACAAUCACGAGCAUAAUCCUAUUCUACGUCGUGACACCUCUAUAGGUUGUGGCCGGCCUUCACCGGACCACCCCUAUCAUGUGCUGUCAGGAGCAUCUAUUUUAUAACGGAAGUAGCCUAUACUAUACUCAAGAAUGGAUGCUGUAAGAAUUUCAGAUUUUCACCUAUUUUCUCGCUUUAAUAGAAAUCUAUGGAUCAAUAAAUUCAGAAAACAAUCAAUGAACUGGAUGUGUACUUUAUAUAAACCUUGCAAAUAAAGAAACAUUUUUUUAUCCCGA